Molecule: ribosomal RNA, 439 nt
Filed under: uncultured Micromonospora sp.
Lineage: Bacteria; Bacillati; Actinomycetota; Actinomycetes; Micromonosporales; Micromonosporaceae
Description: bacterial SSU rRNA
Rfam family: Bacterial small subunit ribosomal RNA
Source: RNAcentral
CCUACGGGAGGCAGCAGUGGGGAAUAUUGCACAAUGGGCGGAAGCCUGAUGCAGCGACGCCGCGUGAGGGAUGACGGCCUUCGGGUUGUAAACCUCUUUCAGCAGGGACGAAGCGAGAGUGACGGUACCUGCAGAAGAAGCACCGGCCAACUACGUGCCAGCAGCCGCGGUAAGACGUAGGGUGCGAGCGUUGUCCGGAUUUAUUGGGCGUAAAGAGCUCGUAGGCGGCUUGUCGCGUCGACCGUGAAAACUUGGGGCUCAACUCCAAGCCUGCGGUCGAUACGGGCAGGCUAGAGUUCGGUAGGGGAGACUGGAAUUCCUGGUGUAGCGGUGAAAUGCGCAGAUAUCAGGAGGAACACCGGUGGCGAAGGCGGGUCUCUGGGCCGAUACUGACGCUGAGGAGCGAAAGCGUGGGGAGCGAACAGGAUUAGAUACCCUU